CCCGCCCCUCCGCUGCGUGCCGCCACCACCGGCUCGCGCUCCUUCGCCGCGCGCCGCCCUGGUCGCCGCCACCGGCCUUUCAUCGCCUCAACGCCCGACGCCUGAAUCUCGCAGGCUCGCCGCACACGUGCUCCCUUGCCAAGUUCGUCCAGGCGGCCGCCAUACUCGUCGCCAUUGCCGAAUUCCCCUACGGCGCCAAUCUCAAGAGCCCCGAAAACUUCUUUGACAACUUGAUUCCGUGCAUCUCGGCUCGAUUACUUCAAUGAGGAGGAAGAUGACGACGUGGCGGAGCUCCUGGACACGGCCGCCUGACCCGGGGACGGCGGGGAGGUCUUCAGCGACGGUGGCCUCUGGUGCAUGCGGAGGUCUAUGUGGAGGCGGAAAUUUAAUUCGACCUCACCUUGGGCUGCCGUCCUCCCCAAGUUCCUGCUGCCGGCGGCCUCCCGAAGCUCCAGCCCACCUCCUCCCCGAGCCCCAAGCACGAACAAGGUACCGUGCUGCACACCUGAAAGUCACCCAGCUACUCCCUGUAAGCCAAAUCCCCUUUUGAAAUUGAGCAGUUGAGCAAAUUAACUAGGAAACCUUGACACACGCUUGCGUCCAGUAGCUCGAUCUGCUGAUGCUAGGAGGGGAUUACCAUUAGAGCUGCAGCCGGUGCUGAGCACUCAUAGUUUCAGAUCUAUUGAUUGAUUCUUGACAUCAACGCACUGAAUGGGCUCAGAAACGGAGAAGUGCCAUGGUGUACUGUGGGUUUCAGCCUUUCUGGAGAUGCAUAGUUCAACAAUAUUCUGUAUUAUUGGAGCAAGCUUUUCAUCCAUAAAUUCUAAGGCUGUCCUUUUGGUCUCCAAACAUCAACAAUCAAUUUUUUCGUCUAUAGAUUAUUGAGCAUAUGACGGGUAUAUGAUGAAAUACACGCGAGGCAGGAGUGCAGCGCCUGACGAUGGCCGUGUGUUUCUCCGCAUCUACAUACAGGCUCCUGGAUCAAUCCGGCAAAUACACAAUACGUGCAUGGGUCGAUUGAGAGCUCCCGCAUCUUACAUGCCAGAUCACACUCCAACCAAUACACGAUGGAACAUCCAGUGGAGAAGAAGGUGAUCAGUUGGUUCAUGCGGAGCAACUCUUCACGUUCAGUUCCUCAAUACAGUUUCUACAGUGAUCAGGGACCGUUGUGUCAGCGGAUAGCGCGGGCCAGUGAUUCUCCAGGGGCUGGCGAUGCCUCUCACCUGUUCAUCUCCAUAGUCAUGCCCAAUCUUCUAGCUGUCGUUCACCAGGCUCUUCAUCGACCUCGGUGCGACCCUAUGAACCACCAGCAUAGAUAACCUAUCUACUUCCUAGAUAAUCUUUUUAUGUGCUAUUAGUUAGCUUCUCUAUAAUAUGCAUGUAUGUCUUCUUUAAGGUUCUUGUUUUGUUGAAAUUUGGUCGUUCUAGGAUAGGUUUGAUCCUCUGUUAACCAUUUAACUUAGACGAGCAAAGCUUAUCUUACUUUUUUCAAAGAACAAAAUUAUUUUACUUAAUUACUUGGUUGAAUACCAACAUGUGCAGAUAUGCUUUGAGCAGACUCAUGUACGUGUGUUCCUGGUCUGCAGGUGAAAGCUUCAGAGUCAUCUGCUGCUUCUAGGAAAUAUUGCUUUUUAGAAGUGUACCGCGUAAUCUAAGCAAAUACCAGUAUCCAUAACCUGGCAUGUACAAGGCAUCGGAUCCAAAUGAAUAUGUUAUAUGCUGACAUAUAGUAGUUUAGGAUGUAAUGGUUUGGCAUAGGAGUUUCCCAGUUUUGGUUUUAUGUUGUGUUAAUGGGUUUUGCACAAACAUAAUGGCAUAGCUCUGAAUUUGGGUCCUCGGGAUCAAAAUAUUACUGUUAUAAAC
Molecule: long non-coding RNA, 1863 nt
Organism: Triticum urartu
Lineage: Eukaryota; Viridiplantae; Streptophyta; Magnoliopsida; Poales; Poaceae
Source: RefSeq, a predicted model, not a curated record